This 311-nucleotide long non-coding RNA is filed under the name Vitis vinifera (wine grape). Its description in RNAcentral is "long non-coding RNA (VVIN_LNC002276)". Lineage: Eukaryota; Viridiplantae; Streptophyta; Magnoliopsida; Vitales; Vitaceae. The record is from RNAcentral.
AAUCAUCCAGUUUAUUGCAAAACGUAUGAUUCAUCUUUAUGAAAACACUCAUGGCUGUGUGUAGAUUUAGAAUCUCUUAUCAAUCUCAAAUUGUUCCUGCUUUGUGGUGCUGCAGGAGCAGGCGUGUCAUCUCAAAAUGAUGAUGAAGGCUCAUGCGAUGAUUCUGAAGACGGGCUUCCACCUCUUGAAAAGAAUUUAAAUCAUCUUAACUUGGAGGAAAGCGAUUCUGAAGACGGACUUCCACCUCUUGAAAAGAAUUUAAAUCAUCUGAACUUGGAGAAAGGGGAUGAAGAAAGUGAGUAAAAUGGCCG